Danaus plexippus (monarch butterfly) is the source of this 3632-nucleotide RNA transcript. RefSeq lists it as uncharacterized. Lineage: Eukaryota; Metazoa; Arthropoda; Insecta; Lepidoptera; Nymphalidae. The transcript is spliced from 6 exons. The record is from RefSeq and is a predicted model, not a curated record.
GAGCGGUCGCGAACGAACGUCUGGCGGCAUUGUGACGUAUUGCGCUCUGAUUCUCGAACCGGUUUCGUUGGAAGUGAUUACACGUUAUCCAGUUAAUAAUACUAGUGCAGUGUUUUGUACAAACUCUUAAAAGCUUUUAGCCGUGAACUAGUGCUUAUAAGACAAAUUUAAGCCAAUAAUGUGUUUUACAUAUUUUUUUUAUUGUGAAGUGAAGUUUUAAAAAAGUUUUGUGAUUUCCUUUCUAAGUGAUAUAAACUAACUCAAUUGUCAUUUAUAGGAUAUAUUGAUUAUAUUGACUUAUUUGCAGUUAGUAUAUAAUUUAUUAUUAUAUUUUAAAGUGUAUUUAUAAACUUACUAAAGUGAAUAUUUAUAAAAAAUAAUUCUACAGGCAAGUAAGAUUACAAAAGAAAAAGUUGAUCGUUUGAGGCUUAACAUGUCAUAAGGAACUAUAUGGUUAAAAGACGAUGAGCCAUGGAAUCUCGGAGUGCGCCGCCGAGCCCCGAAGACUCUGGGGAGGCGGUGUUCAAUACACACUGUGGACGAUAUCCUCAUCAACCAGUAUUGCAAAGAACAUUCGCAAGUUGUCGCGAAGCAGGCCGACCGCGACCUCAUCACCGACAUGCCGUUUCAGAACCUGGAAGACCAGACGAUCGAGUACUUACAACAGCCGAAGUUCACGACUAUCCUUCCUCCGAGUCCGGCAUUGCUGCCGAUUGUCCUCAUCCUCAUUCAAGUAAUGCAGACGACAGUCCAUGUUACGACCGUUCAGAUUUUGAGGGCAAUUCUAGUUACAGCUUAAGACAUAAUUACCACCAUACAAUCGACUGCAGUAAACAUAGAUCUGAUUUCAGUCGUAGCCAUACCCCAGAUUAUAAUAAUGAUCACGAUUCAGAUUGUGAUCGCGGGCAUUCCCGUUCUCAAACAACACGACGACCACAUCGUAGGCAUAGGCGAGAAGAUGGUGAUGGCGCCCAAUCGCUUGAUGAACGCUGUGCUCGAGACCUUGAUGAAAUUUUGCCAGCAAGACUUGCAGCAGUGAACCUGUCGAGAGAGCAACCAUCACAAUCAUGGAAUAGGAGCAAUAUUGCCGCUACCAUGGAACGUUUUGAGCCGGUGGAUUAUUCCUAUGCCUAUUACGACCAUCAUUUAUCCAUGCCUUCUUCCUCUAGAAAGGCUAAUCGACAAAGGGGACGUGGUGGUUUACCCCGUGAUAGAUCUGCCCGUCAUAAUUUUGUAACAAGGUAUGGCACUGAAGAAAAUAUUUACGAAGAAAUAACAGACGGUUCCAGAACUUGCCCUAAGCAUCGAUAUGUACCUCGACAGUCACUGGUUUCACUAGAUAGAAGCGUUGUUGAAGAAGAAGUGCGCAGAGUAGAGUCAAGGCAUAAAAGAAUCUUAGGGGAAUUAAAUUUAAGUGUUGAAGCAAUGCUUAUGCCUGAAUGUGAAUCGCCUGAUUCUGAGCGCGCAGAAGAUAGAGAUAAUAUAGAAGAAUUGUUGAGAGUUGGGCCAACAGAUGAAUUAUUAUCGCCGGCUAGUUGCAAUCCCCCUGAUUUAGACAGUGGAUUUAGUGGGAGCAGUAGUGGUGCCAGUUACGUAGGAAGUUUACGUCGAAAACCUACAGGAUCUGUGCCACAUUUACCUGCAGUAGCGUAUGGUACUCGUGGAGUUGGAGUUCGUAUUUUAGGAGCCGAAGACUGCAACUUACGAUGCCCUAAAGAUGUUAAUUCUCCACGUAGUUCUAGCUGUGGCGAUGCAAAAACCAGUGGUUUUUGGAAUAAAAAAGCAUGGAAGAAAAUAUCAGGGUUUUCGAGUUCGAACAGUAUAAAUAAAGCUGGUUUAACUGGUCUGCUCGUUAGGUACACUUUCCGGCGUAAGUCCGGCUCGCAGGGCUCUCAGGGCAAGCGGCGUACCGAGCCCGUCAAAUGCGAUGCGUGCCUCUCACAACGAUGUUAACCGCCUUUAUGAUGAAGCUUGUAGGCCAAGCAGAGCUAAAUCAAGAACAGCAACUAUACCCUACAGCUACUCCAACGGAAAACUUGUGGUGCCGCUGGAUUCCCUAGCACAAAGCUGAAGGGAGCGCUCUUUCAAUUUCAGUCUCCAUCGUCUUCGAAAAUCUACUCCAUACUAAUGGGCGGAGAUCGUUUAACUUCGUAUAAAAUAUGCACUGGACAAAAGUGUCACAUCAUUACGUAUUUUCUAUUAGUAAGAGAGCAAAAAAUUGCUUGCACUUAGUAGUUAUAUGACUAUUCUCUAACUUUUUAGUAGUAAGUGACUUGCAUUCGGAUUUUUUAAUUUUUACUGUUAUUGGAACAUGUUUUGUGUGGGAUGUUCACUGUUUAGUCGACUGUUUUUUCUUGUUAGUAACAUUCCAUUUGACUUUGUAUCUUGGGAUGCCGCUUUGGCUCUGCGUCUUUCAAUGCGUCUAUGAGACAAACUUAUUGGGACGAAAUCACUUGUAAAAAGAGUGUAAAUAUAAUAGAUAUGUUUAUAAUUUAGAAUGUUGGAGAUGAGUAUACGCCGACGAGAUAGAAGAGCCUAAUUGAUAUUAUGUAUUAAGACAACAGUUUCAUAGAAACAUAAUGGAUAUGUUGUUGUUAUUUAUCAAGAUUUUGUAGAAAUUAGGAAUUAAAAAGUCUGACCCCAAAACAUUAAAAUUGCAGUAUAUUUGCUAUAUGAUUUUAUAUUGUUUAAAGCUUAAAUUGUAAAUUAAGUUACAGUGAGGUAUAGCGAAAUUUCAAAGUUAUAAAUAAAGCAUACGAACUUGUCACUUUCAUGAUUGUAUUUUUUUUUUCACGAAUUGGCGUUACUUUUAGAAUAUGUGUUAUUGUUAGUUAUUAUACCUGUAAAUGUUGUAAAUAAGAUAAACAUGGUGCACUCAUUUUAUCGUAUAAACCUGUAAAUAGUUAUAACGCAAUUGUUUUAGAUUAUAUUUAUAUGCGAUUUAUUUAACAAUUGUGUAUUGAGAAUAAUCUGCCCAAACUGCCGGCCUUUGAUAUAAAUUUUUAAUGGCAUAUUGUUUGAUUUUAUUAAUUACAAUUAUUAUUUACAGAGUGAAAAAACGAAUUGGAUCUUAUGUUCUGAUAUUCUUUUAUUGCUUCUAUUACAAAAAAUAAAUAAAUAAGAGGAAUAAUUUAAAUUAAUGUCAUAUAAUAUGUAUGUCCACUAUAAGUCUAUUAAUUUAUUUAAAGCUUUUGAUGUGCUUAUAGCAGUGUCAAAUGGGUAUUAAAUAUAACUGGGGGUCUCACAUUCGCUCAGACAUAUUUGUUUUUAAAUCUCAUUAACCUAUUUGGUUGAUAAAUAGCUUUAAUCAUGAAAUUAUUCAUUAAUUUUCAAGAGUAAUUAUUUGAAAUAAUAUUUUACUAAAUAUCACAAUAUGUUUAACUGAAUCUUUCUUAUGUAUAUUCUUUUUAUUUAUUAAUUUAUAUAAAGUUUUUUUUAAUUUGCGAAUUGUCAUAUCCCUUUAAAUAAAUGGAUGUUACGUAAUUAGUUAGCCAGCGAGAAUAUAAUUUGAUAAUUGCUGUAAGCUAAUCGACUGAUACGAAGUAAAUACUCAAUGUUACACAAUUUCUGUCUGUAAUUUAGUGAUCGUGUUCGAGUAAAAAGAGAUUUUAUUAAAUAAACUAUAAAAAUUC